GGGGCCUGGACUGGAUGCGUGACCUCCAGUCCCUCCCGAAGCCUCCCCACCAGAUGUUAAUUCAGCCGUCAUUUAGUUGCAGAGAGGAGAGAGGUGGAGAUGGAGGGUCAAUCUAGGCCAACUUCCUGGAGGAGGGGAGCUUGCUGUGGGCUUCUCACAAUGAACAAAACCAAGCUAUUGACAGCUCUGUUUAUGGAGAUCUCAGGAAGAAAAGUUUGGGAGAAUAACCUAGACCAGCUGUAAAACCCCAAACCCAAAAGGGCUGGUAUCUAGAACCACACUCUUGGGUUCUGCUCUUUGCCCUGAUGCUGACUAAGUGACCCAAGGCAGGUGGCCUUCCUUUCCAUCAUAAGGGUGCUGGCCUUGUCUAAAAUGACCUUCAACUCUGGCAAGCCCGGCCCCCCGGGAGACGCAUGAUGGGGCCGUUGAGGCUGGUGGCCAAGUGGAAUUAGGCCGUGGAUGGAGGGGUGUGCUGAUGAAGAAACAAACCAGGAGAGGGGACCAGCAGAACCUGACCCACACGCCUCCCCCAGAGGGUGCGGGCCUCUGCCUGGGCUGAGCAACCGUCUUCCACUCC
Non-coding RNA from Ictidomys tridecemlineatus (thirteen-lined ground squirrel), 577 nucleotides. The record is from RefSeq and is a predicted model, not a curated record. NCBI's taxonomy places the organism in Eukaryota, Metazoa, Chordata, Mammalia, Rodentia, Sciuridae.